AGUUAUUUUUCUAAUAUUAUUUUAAAAGUUAAGAUUAACAGAAAGAUGAUGUAUAUGAAAUAUUUUUAUUUCUUUUUCUUUUUAACUCUUGUAAAAUCCAACAAUAUCAUUGAACGAUAAAGCAGAAUUUAGUAAAUUGUUUCAAUAGUUGUGGUUUGUUAAAUUCUGAAAUCAUAAAUUCUCAAGAUAAUUUUACUAACAAUUUUGAAUUAUUAUUUAUAAAUUGGUGUAUAAUCAUUUUACAGAGUAAAAGUGAAGAUAUUAUUUCAACGGUUGGGAAUGAUAUGUACAAAUAUAUUAGUGAAAAUGGUAAUUGCCCAAAUGAAGCGAAGACGUGUUGUUAUAGAUAUGCUAGAGAAGUUAAUGCUUUAAAAGGAACUAUGGAACUUGUGAACACGCCUUAUAAACAUUUGAUUACAGCGGUGGGUCCCGAAAAUAAAGUUUUGCCAACGUUACUUUAUGAACAAGACAUGAUUGUCGACUUGGGCUACGAUCCGGUGGAUGAUGAUCAAAUAGUUGUAUUGUCCGAAAAUACAGAAGCUGCGGACUGCAUAAAGAUAGAGCGUUUGUAUUAAAUGUACCUUAAUUAAUUAGUAAUAUUUCAUUUAUAAAAAUUAUAUAAGAAUUAUAUAAUAAAUAAUAAAAAAUGUUUUGUUGUCUACAAUAUUUUAGUAAAUUCUUUAUGAAAUUUCGACGAUCAUUCCAAAUCUGUCUCUAAUUUUAU
Long non-coding RNA from Daktulosphaira vitifoliae (grape phylloxera), 724 nucleotides. RefSeq lists it as uncharacterized. The transcript is spliced from 3 exons. NCBI's taxonomy places the organism in Eukaryota, Metazoa, Arthropoda, Insecta, Hemiptera, Phylloxeridae. The record is from RefSeq and is a predicted model, not a curated record.